AUGGAUUUGAAACUGAGCUGUGUUUUCAUUGUUGUUUUCUUAAAAGGUAUCCAGAGUGAGGUGAAGCUGGAGAAGUCUCGGGGAGGCUUGGUGCAACCUGGAAGGUCCAUAAAACUCUCUUGUGCAGCCUUAGCAUUCACUUUCAGGGACUACUGGAUGCACUGGGUCUGCCAGUCUCCAGAGAAGGGACUGGAAUGGGUUUCUGCAAUUGGAAUCAAAACUAGUAAUUAUGCAACACAUUAUGCAGAGUCUGUAAAAGACAAAUGCAUCAUCUCAAGAGAUGAUUCCAAAAGUAGUGUCUACCUUCAAAUGAACAGCUUAAGAGCUGAAGACACUGGCAUUUAUUACUGUGUAAGUCCCAGUGAGAAGCCUUCAUUUUAA
Mus caroli (Ryukyu mouse) is the source of this 381-nucleotide non-coding RNA. NCBI's taxonomy places the organism in Eukaryota, Metazoa, Chordata, Mammalia, Rodentia, Muridae. The record is from the annotation of a RefSeq genome assembly.